Molecule: long non-coding RNA, 1447 nt
Filed under: Carassius auratus (goldfish)
Lineage: Eukaryota; Metazoa; Chordata; Actinopteri; Cypriniformes; Cyprinidae
Description: lncRNA (ENSCARG00000067383.1)
Source: RNAcentral
CCCCUUGUCUGUCUUGCUAUGACACAGAAACGUUUCAGAAAGCUGGCCCCUCUUUGCCAUAAGGGAGGGGUUGUAACGUAGGCUAAAGGACAAGGAAUGCUUUUUACAUUUGAUUUUUUAAAAUACAAUCACGGUUUUGUUUCUAAAAUGCAAACUCAAGUUUUUUGUUUGCAAGUGAAAAUGUAUUAAGAAUAUGGAUGCACGAUAAUAUCGGCACAAUAUCGGUAUCGGCCGAUAAAAGCUUAAAAUGACCAUUAUCGGUAUCGGCCGAUAUGAAUAUUUCUGCCGAUGAGCCAAACCGAUAUUCUCCAAGUGAAAUAAUUGACCUGUUUUUCAGAUGUGAAUGUCUGUCUACAUUUGUAAAAUAAUAAAUUUAUGGUAGAAUCAGUACAGAAGAGAUACAUGGAUUUCUCUUCAGUAAAAUUAAAGUUUAAAUAUAUCAGUAUAUAUUUGUAUAUAUAUCGAUAUCGGUAUCGGCAUCGGCCAAAAUUAUUUUGAAAAUAUCGGCAUAUCGAAUAUCGGCCAAAAUCCAAUAUCGUGCAUCCCUAAUUAAGAAUGCUGUGCAAUGUGUUUUUGUCUUUGUUCUAGAAAAAAAAACACUUUAGAAAGUUCUGAUGACGAAACAGACAUUGAGAUGAAGCGACAAUAUGAAAAAGCAAAAAGACAAAAAAAAGUUGCAAAAGAGAGGAUCCUCACUCAGUUGAAGGAUACACUGAGGAAACCACCCCACUCCACUCCAUGCAGAACCAAUCCAUUACAUAGUGAGGAGGAAGUUGAAUCUGAAACGGUGGACACAAACGUGGAUUUGUUCAAUUACCCAGGGAAUUCUCAAUCAACCAAACAAAAAAAGGUUGCAAAUGAGAGGAUCCUCACUCAGCUGAAGGAUACACUGAGGAAACCACUCCACUCUGAUCCACGCAGAACCAUUCCGUUACAUAGUGAGGAGGAAGUUCAAGCCGAAACCGUGGACACAAAUGUGGAUUUGUUCGAUUACCCAGAGAAUUUUCAACCAACUGUAUGUCGUUUCAGACCAUACACCAAAAAAAAAAACCAUUUGGACUGUGUUAUAGUUAUUCUAAUGUAUUUUUAAUCGUAUUUUUUCAGGUUCUCCAAAGCGUUUUUUUUUUUUUUGCAAGUAGAACAUUACCAUGCAAAUCAUUUUUGUUUGAAAUUGUAUUUAUUGUUUUAAAUAUAGGAUACCUUAGAUGCUGUUGAGGCAAGUGGAGAGAGCGUGGAACAGCCAUUAUUUGUCAGUGGUGAAGUGUUGAAAGCUUUGAAAGGUACAGUAUAAAAUACCUGAAAUGAGUUGUGCUGAGGGAUGCUAUGUGGAUAAUUAUGUCUUACAUAUACUAUAUAUACAAUAAUACAUGUGUGAUUGUAAUUUUCUAUUGACUUAAUUUGUAUUUAAAGCAGUAAAAAGUGGUUGUACUGUAUUUCAUUUCUUUAG